UUGAAUUUCUAGCCCUGGCAGAAAAAAUACAUUUCAACAGUGUGGAGCAUCGCUAUUGAAUAAAUAGAAGAACACAAAUACUUGCUUUUUAAAAAACAAAAUAGCAAUAUACUUUGCAUAGAGUCAAAACAGAAAACAAAGAAAUAAAUUAAUAGCAUAAUAUUAAAAAUGCAGGCAGGCUAUUACCCUAAAAUAUAUUUAAUUAAGGACAAGAACAUCAUGUCCAGGCAAGCUCUUGAAAUCAGGUUCAGACCUCGUGCAAGGCUUCUGAUACAAGCGCUUCCGUCUUGGACUCUCUCCCUACUUCAGUCUACGCUGGCCAAUAUAUCAUUGUCAGCAUUGUACCG
Non-coding RNA from Pelodiscus sinensis (Chinese soft-shelled turtle), 347 nucleotides. The record is from RefSeq and is a predicted model, not a curated record. Lineage: Eukaryota; Metazoa; Chordata; Testudines; Trionychidae.